This 253-nucleotide ribosomal RNA is filed under the name uncultured bacterium. RNAcentral's name for it is "partial 16S ribosomal RNA". It matches the Rfam family "Bacterial small subunit ribosomal RNA", at positions 524 to 776 of the family's 1533-position model. The record is from RNAcentral.
UACGUAGGGUGCAAGCGUUAAUCGGAAUUACUGGGCGUAAAGCGUGCGCAGGCGGUGAUGUAAGUCAGAUGUGAAAUCCCCGGGCUCAACCUGGGAACUGCAUUUGUGACUGCAUCGCUGGAGUGCGGCAGAGGGGGAUGGAAUUCCGCGUGUAGCAGUGAAAUGCGUAGAUAUCAGGAGGAAUACCGAUGGCGAAGGCAGGUCUCUGGGCUGACACUGACGCUCAUGCACGAAAGCGUGGGGAGCAAACAGG